CUCGAGCUUCUGAUUCAGGAUGUU
This 24-nucleotide non-coding RNA is filed under the name Arabidopsis thaliana (thale cress). Lineage: Eukaryota; Viridiplantae; Streptophyta; Magnoliopsida; Brassicales; Brassicaceae. The record is from RNAcentral.